GAUGAACGCUGACAGAAUGCUUAACACAUGCAAGUCAACUUGAAUUUGGGUUUUUAACUUAGAUUUGGGUGGCGGACGGGUGAGUAACGCGUAAAGAACUUGCCUCACAGCUAGGGACAACAUUUAGAAAUGAAUGCUAAUACCUGAUAUUACGAUUUUAAGGCAUCUUAGAAUUAUGAAAGCUAUAAGCACUGUGAGAGAGCUUUGCGUCCCAUUAGCUAGUUGGAGAGGUAACAGCUCACCAAGGCGAUGAUGGGUAGCCGGCCUGAGAGGGUGAACGGCCACAAGGGGACUGAGACACGGCCCUUACUCCUACGGGAGGCAGCAGUGGGGAAUAUUGGACAAUGGACCGAGAGUCUGAUCCAGCAAUUCUGUGUGCACGAUGAAGUUUUUCGGAAUGUAAAGUGCUUUCAGUUGGGAAGAAAGAAAUGACGGUACCAACAGAAGAAGUGACGGCUAAAUACGUGCCGGCAGCCGCGGUAAUACGUAUGUCACAAGCGUUAUCCGGAUUUAUUGGGCGUAAAGCGCGUCUAGGUGGUUAUGUAAGUCUGAUGUGAAAAUGCAGGGCUCAACUCUGUAUUGCGUUGGAAACUGUAUAACUAGAGUACUGGAGAGGUAAGCGGAACUACAAGUGUAGAGGUGAAAUUCGUAGAUAUUUGUAGGAAUGCCGAUGGGGAAGCCAGCUUACUGGACAGAUACUGACGCUAAAGCGCGAAAGCGUGGGUAGCAAACAGG
This 735-nucleotide ribosomal RNA is filed under the name uncultured Fusobacterium sp. RNAcentral's name for it is "bacterial SSU rRNA". It matches the Rfam family "Bacterial small subunit ribosomal RNA", at positions 28 to 776 of the family's 1533-position model. The record is from RNAcentral. Lineage: Bacteria; Fusobacteriati; Fusobacteriota; Fusobacteriia; Fusobacteriales; Fusobacteriaceae.